UGCACAAUGGGCGAAAGCCUGAUGCAGCGACGCCGCGUGAGGGAUGACGGCCUUCGGGUUGUAAACCUCUUUCAGCAGGGAAGAAGCGAGAGUGACGGUACCUGCAGAAGAAGCGCCGGCUAACUACGUGCCAGCAGCCGCGGUAAUACGUAGGGCGCAAGCGUUGUCCGGAAUUAUUGGGCGUAAAGAGCUCGUAGGCGGCUUGUCGCGUCGGAUGUGAAAGCCCGGGGCUUAACCCCGGGUCUGCAUUCGAUACGGGCAGGCUAGAGUUCGGUAGGGGAGAUCGGAAUUCCUGGUGUAGCGGUGAAAUGCGCAGAUAUCAGGAGGAACACCGGUGGCGAAGGCGGAUCUCUGGGCCGAUACUGACGCUGAGGAGCGAAAGCGUGGGGAGCGAACAGGAUUAGAUACCCUGGUAGUCCACGCCGUAAACGUUGGGAACUAGGUGUGGGCGACAUUCCACGUCGUCCGUGCCGCAGCUAACG
This 482-nucleotide ribosomal RNA is filed under the name Streptomyces lilacinus. RNAcentral describes it as "bacterial SSU rRNA". It matches the Rfam family "Bacterial small subunit ribosomal RNA", at positions 365 to 857 of the family's 1533-position model. Lineage: Bacteria; Bacillati; Actinomycetota; Actinomycetes; Kitasatosporales; Streptomycetaceae. The record is from RNAcentral.